CUCAGAGCUAUUGCUGAUGGACUAAAAAGUAAUGUGAGCUUGGGAAAAGUCAUAUAAAUAGCCUUAUAAGUGUGUUUCAAGUCUAUUAGCUUUUUGAAAUCAUAUAGGAGUAAACACAAAUUAUACUCCCUUUUCUGUGUUUGUCCUGCUCUCCCCACUAGGAAAAUUUGUCACAGUUCAAUAUUUAUGAAAUUAAAAUGUUGAAAAGUGAAAGUGGAAGGAGAGAGAAAGAGAGAGACGAGAGAGAAGGAGGUAAAGGACAGAAAGGCUUUAAGAGGAAAGGAGAGGCUGUCCAGUUUUCCCAGCACCCUCAUGGCUCAAUGGAUAUGAAUGUGACUGGUAACCAUGAGGAUGUGGGUUUGAUUCCUGGCCUUCCUCGGUGGAAUAAGGAUCUGGUAUUGCUGUGAGCUGUGGUGUGGGUUACAGAUGUGGCUCGGCUCUGACUUUGCUGUGGUUGUGGCACAGGCCAGUGGCUACAGCUCCGAUUUGACCCCUAGCCUGGAAACUUCCUUAUGCUGAGGGAAAAAAAAAGUGGCAAGGAGAGAAAAGAAAAAGAAAUGAGAAUUGGAAGAAUAGUGGGACAGUCUCUGUGCCAAUGUGAGGUUAGAAAAGCAGACUAGAGGAUAAAUAAAUAGGAGAAGAGGAGAAUGAUGGAGUGUGUAGGGUGGAACUAGUUCCUUCAUUUCAGUCUUUGACAUCAAGCUGUGGUCCCAUCUACCUAGUGCCUCUGUCUCUAGAAUCCCAGGACACUUGGUUCUGUUCUCUGUUCCCAGUAUGUUGCAUGUGUAUCCUCCUCUUUUGGCAUUUUUGAUUGGUACCCCUUUCUUAAUAUUUCAGGCCUUGAGUUUCUUCUAUAUCAAGGACUGAGCUCCCCUGGACAUUCCUCUCCCUGCCUCAGAUGGCAAACUUUCCUUAGUACAGACUCAGACCUACGUAGCUCUGAUAUUCAGCUUGCUUGUCUUCCCGGGGAAGCUGAUUCUCCUGAUGUCAUACAUUUCCCAUUUGCCUCAAAUUUCAGUCCUCUGGCUAGUAUGGCUUUCACUUUGUUCUGGGGUGGACCUUUUGGAAGGGUUUCUCUGAUGCCUUACAGGUUCCUUGGAAAACAGGCCUCCUUGAUCGCCAGAUUAAUAGAGGGCUUGGCUUCUUGUGAUCACAGAUCAGGCUUCUGGUUCUUUCUCUCUGGCUUGCUUCAUCUGAUUGUCAUCACACUUGUCCUUACUAUAGCCCUGUCUACAAUUACAAUUAGCCUCAUGAAGAGUUGAAAACAUCUGGUUCUAUCCCUGAGAGACUAACGUCCCCUCUAGUUAUUCCAUCCACUGGAUGGGUGUCACCUUGAUAGGUGGCAGUAACUAUGGAAUGAGCGGACAGUCUUUACGGAAUGCCAUGCUUUCCAAGGGGCUGGUGUCCAUCAAGGCAGUCUUAGCCAGAUAAGAGCUGGAUGAAGGUCGGAAAGGGCAAGGUGUAUCUGUUCAAAUGACUAAUAUAUAUGAUUCACUGGUAAUUAGCACUGUUGAUUCAAUUUGUAAGAUUUUUACAAUACUACAGAUUGUUUUAUUUAUGAAAAAUUUCAGAGUUUGACUAAAUACGUGGUGUGAACUAACUGUGCUCAGAAGGUCCUAGUCAUAUAGCACAGUAGCACAGAAGCACUUCCUCUUGGGUAGAACUGCUAAGGUUGUAUAGAACUUCAUGACCCAAUUCCAGUGCCAGCUGUGAAGAAUACAUUUUUUUCCUGCCUUUUCCAGUUGGACAACCUUAUAGUUCAGAUCGCUUUGGAUUCUGGCAAAUACUUAAAAAAAUCUUCAUUCUUCAAGACAAAAGCUGCCUGCCUUGUAUUUUUGGUCUGCCUGAGAGAAGUUGAGGUGAGGUAAGAUCCAGGGACGUUUCCUCUGAACAGAGAGCUGGACAUUUAUCCUUGACAUUUCCAGCUGAGUGUGCAAACAUCUAGCCAGGCCAGUGAGGGCAGUUGAUGUUUUUUCUCCAGAAUUGCAUAACUGGCCCACAUGGAGUCAUCAAGAGCUUCUUCCUACUUCUUCCUGGCCCUCUCCAUGCCUUUUGUUUUUGCUUCCUCUAGCUGUCUGGCCUCUGACACUUUCUAACAUACUAUAUUCUCUCAUGAAUACUUCUCUCUCAUGGUAGUCUUUUUGAUUUUGUAAGCAUGACUUAUCGUGAAACUUCAUGACUGUGGGUCUCUAGUUUCUUUUGGUCCUGGGCCAACACUUUUCUUUUGAAAGGAUCUUCUUGUGUAAAUACAUUAAAACUGCUGAAGGCAUCCUCCCCACAUUGACAUGUUGAAGACAGAAGGCUGUUGGCUUCCUGCCCACAAGAUUGCUAUGGAUGUUGAACCACAAUGGCAGAGACUGGGCAUAUCAGUUGGGUGGAUUAUGUUGGAUACAUCUCAUAAAAGGCAAAAAGCAGAAGACCAGGAUGGGAUCAAGGAAUAGAAAGUCAGGAUGUGCUUUACAGAUCUUGUUUUUUUUGGGGGGGAGAGGAAAAAAUAUGACCAUGUUGGCUAGAAAAUUAAAAGCUCUACUAUUGGUAAAGUUAUCCAAGUAGGCAACUGAUAAGAAUACACCCAAUGUUUCACAUUCUUGAGAAUACAAUCUGAGUUACAGUUAUCAUCAGACUUUGGGAUUUUUGAAAAUACUUGUGGGGCUCACAUUUUGAAAACAUACCAGUUGAUCUGCUCCUUCCUCUAGCUCCUUUCAAAAUUUGGUUUGCUAAUAUCUGCUUUCUAAAUCAUCAGCUAGCAUGCAUGUGAAAACAUAGGGUUUUAAAGAACAUAAGCAUGUAUUCAAUCACCAAAACUACAAAUACAGCUACUAAGUGCCAUAUUAUAACAUUAGCUGGUGCUACUGUUGUGUGGCAUCUUUAAUUUCUAAAAAAGUGAGUUAAAAUAAGUUUAAAAAUUGGAGAAUUUUGUCUGAUGUUUGAUUUGUAUGACUAGGUUAUAAAUUCAUACUUGAAAACAGUAAUAUUGAGGUAUAAAAAUAUUGGAAAUAUGAAGUCAAAACUGAACUACAAAUGCUAAAUUUGAAGUCCAGGUUACAUGGAUGGUAGAUAGGACAAGGAGACAUUCAGGAACCCACACAUGCCAUGAAUGACUGAUUGUUAUGUUGCUUCUAAAAUGCAAGUGAAGAGUUCCCAGUGUGGUGCAAUGGUAUUGGUGGUGUCUCUGCAGUGCCAGGAUGCAGGUUCGAUCCCUGGCCUGGCACAGUGGGUUAAAGGAUCUGGUGUUGCCACAGCUGAAGCGUAGGUUGGAUCUGAUCCCUGGCCUGGGAACUCCAAAUGCCUUAGGGCAGCCAAAAAUGGGGAAAAAAAAAGACACAUUAAAAACAAAUAAAAUGCGUGUGAGCUGAUGAUGAAAAUUUCACUCUUUUUUUUUUUCUUAAGUUGUGUCAGUGCUUUCCCAUUAUCCUUUGAAGUAUGGAAAUAAUAUUGGCUCCUAAAACACAUUUUAUUAAGACAAGUUGCAGCUCUUGGGUAUGCUUAUGUGUAUUUACCACAUUAAAUUCAUGUUUAUAUUGUCUUUGUAUCUCAGGAAUAUGUUUCAGUUAUCUGUAUUACCUGUGAUUCACUUGUGUUGCCCAAAUGUCAAAUGUGACUCCACAAUUGUAAAUUUCUGUGUAAUAGUUUGUAAACAAAGUAAGCAUACCUCGACAAGUCUCAGCAAUAACAACUAAAAUUGUAUAUUCACAGGCAACUCAUCACACUCCAACUGGACAAUUGCAUUUUUUACGAUGCAGGCAAUUUCAGAUAUGUUUAAAAUUGUGAAAAGCAUGCGAAUCAUGGAAUAUAUUCAGUGCAAGAAUUCUUUUCUCAUCACUCAUAGCCUUCCCCCAUCUCUUACCCAACUGGACUGAAUAAUAAAAUAAAACAAUGCACCAU
RNAcentral lists this long non-coding RNA (3885 nucleotides) under Sus scrofa (pig). Its description in RNAcentral is "lncRNA (ENSSSCG00000049027.2)". The record is from RNAcentral. Lineage: Eukaryota; Metazoa; Chordata; Mammalia; Artiodactyla; Suidae.